CAGGCUUAACACAUGCAAGUCGAGGGGCAGCAUGGUCUUAGCUUGCUAAGGCCGAUGGCGACCGGCGCACGGGUGAGUAACACGUAUCCAACCUGCCGUCUACUCUUGGACAGCCUUCUGAAAGGAAGAUUAAUACAAGAUGGCAUCAUGAGUCCGCAUGUUCACAUGAUUAAAGGUAUUCCGGUAGACGAUGGGGAUGCGUUCCAUUAGAUAGUAGGCGGGGUAACGGCCCACCUAGUCUUCGAUGGAUAGGGGUUCUGAGAGGAAGGUCCCCCACAUUGGAACUGAGACACGGUCCAAACUCCUACGGGAGGCAGCAGUGAGGAAUAUUGGUCAAUGGGCGAGAGCCUGAACCAGCCAAGUAGCGUGAAGGAUGACUGCCCUAUGGGUUGUAAACUUCUUUUAUAAAGGAAUAAAGUCGGGUAUGCAUACCCGUUUGCAUGUACUUUAUGAAUAAGGAUCGGCUAACUCCGUGCCAGCAGCCGCGGUAAUACGGAGGAUCCGAGCGUUAUCCGGAUUUAUUGGGUUUAAAGGGAGCGUAGAUGGAUGUUUAAGUCAGUUGUGAAAGUUUGCGGCUCAACCGUAAAAUUGCAGUUGAUACUGGAUAUCUUGAGUGCAGUUGAGGCAGGCGGAAUUCGUGGUGUAGCGGUGAAAUGCUUAGAUAUCACGAAGAACUCCGAUUGCGAAGGCAGCCUGCUAAGCUGCAACUGACAUUGAGGCUCGAAAGUGUGGGUAUCAAACAGGAUUAGAUACCCUGGUAGUCCACACGGUAAACGAUGAAUACUCGCUGUUUGCGAUAUACGGCAAGCGGCCAAGCGAAAGCGUUAAGUAUUCCACCUGGGGAGUACGCCGGCAACGGUGAAACUCAAAGGAAUUGACGGGGGCCCGCACAAGCGGAGGAACAUGUGGUUUAAUUCGAUGAUACGCGAGGAACCUUACCCGGGCUUAAAUUGCAGAUGAAUUACAGUGAAAGCCGUAAGCCGCAAGGCAUCUGUGAAGGUGCUGCAUGGUUGUCGUCAGCUCGUGCCGUGAGGUGUCGGCUUAAGUGCCAUAACGAGCGCAACCCUUGUUGUCAGUUACUAACAGGUUCCGCUGAGGACUCUGACAAGACUGCCAUCGUAAGAUGUGAGGAAGGUGGGGAUGACGUCAAAUCAGCACGGCCCUUACGUCCGGGGCUACACACGUGUUACAAUGGGGGGUACAGAGGGCCGCUACCACGCGAGUGGAUGCCAAUCCCCAAAACCUCUCUCAGUUCGGACUGGAGUCUGCAACCCGACUCCACGAAGCUGGAUUCGCUAGUAAUCGCGCAUCAGCCACGGCGCGGUGAAUACGUUCCCGGGCCUUGUACACACCGCCCGUCAAGCCAUGGGAGCCGGGGGUACCUGAAGUGCGUAACCGCGAGGAGCGCCCUAGGGUAAAACUGGUGACUGGGGCUA
This 1436-nucleotide ribosomal RNA is filed under the name uncultured organism. RNAcentral's name for it is "16S ribosomal RNA". It matches the Rfam family "Bacterial small subunit ribosomal RNA". The record is from RNAcentral.